GGUACACAUUGCUGUCCAGCCAGCUGCCAGUGGACCUUCCUUGUAAGUAACUCCUCAGUAAACCCACAUAUCUCGUUCGCUGACUCUGGGUCUUUUCUUUGGUCUCUUGGCAACCUAUCCCGCACUGCUCACCCAGCUGGGUGUGUGGUAGAACACUUGGCGAAGACAGAAAAACCCCCAUGAGUGCUGAGACUAUGGGCGAUGGAAGGGGAAUCUGCAGGGGUAAUCCUGGGUCCGCCCUGUGGGGGCUGGCUGCCACUAUCCUUGAAGGAGAGGGCCCACUGUACCUUCAGGAAGCCUCCGGAUCCCUCCUCACCCACCUAUGCCAACAAGGAUGGGUGGUAAACGACAACAAAAGCAGGUGGAGCCCAUAACCUGUUCCCUGCUGGUCACAAUCCGUACUCAUCCGCCCAUUGCCAGGUGGCUGCAGGACGCUCUCCAGAAGCCCCACUCGAGAGCAACCCAAACACAGACAUUGGCAAAAUGGCAUGCACACUUACAACGACGAGGGACCCUGACCAACAGUCCCCUCAGUGCCGAACUGCAUGCCAUCCUGGGGCCAGUAACAUACACCACAGAAAAAACAACCCUGUUAGAUGAGGCGCCCAUGCCUGAAACCCUGCCAAACGUACAGAAAGGAGAAGGACCAAUCCCAGUGGAGGCCUGGUAUAUGGAUGGCUCUGCAAGGGGCAACCCCCCUCCCGACUCCCCAGUGGACAGCACUAGCCAUCCAGCCUUCGACCGACAGCGUGUGGUUGGACUGUGGCUCUGGGUACAAUAGUCAAUGGGCUGAACUGCGAGCUGCCUGGAUGGUGCUGACUCGUGAACCCGAUCCAAUGCGUCUGUGCAUGGACAGGUGGGCGGUCUACAAAGGGCUCACCCUGUGGAUGGCACAGAGGGCACAACAAAAGUGGACAAUUAAUGGUCGCCCAUUGUGGGGGGCAGAACUCUGGGAUGAUAUCUGGCAGCAGGUCCAGGGAAUGACAGUAACAGUGUACCAUGUGUCUGCACAUCAGGCGAUGACGCCACCAGGGAACCAACAAGCAGAUGAGUUAGCUUGGAUUCGUCUCCUGGAAGAAGUGCCAGCCAAAAGAGUGGCAGAGCAGCUACACAAGAAGACUGGCACAAAGGACAAAGAAUCCUAGGGGCUAUUGCCAAGGCCUGGGGCCUCCCCCUGCACUAUGCUGGUGUGGUGCAGGUCUGUCGGGUGUGCCCUUCUUGCUCCUCGCAGAGACCCUGGGCCAUUCCCUGGGACACAGGCCAAAUAGCCAGAAACAACGCUGGCAAGUGGACUACAUUGGGCCCUUGCCUCUUUCUGAUGGCUGUCGGCAUGCUCUCACUUGUGUGGGGACAUCUACAGGACUGCUACAGACAUACCCCAGCAAAAGGGCCACAGCAUGAGGCCUGGGACGUCUCUGUGCUGCAUACGGUGUUCCCACAGACAUCAACAGUGACAAAGGUAUGCAUUUUACUGGCCAUCAGGUACAGACACGGGCUGGUCAAAUGGACAUACAUUGGCAUUCUCACCUGCCACACAAUCCCAUGGCCACAAGGCUGGUAGAACAAAUGAAUGGCUUCCUGAAACAAUUGAGGAUAGAAGACAGAACCCUAGCCCACUAGACAAGACACCUGGCAACUGCAAUACGUCAACUGAAUGAACAUGAGAGGCGCACCCAACCCAACGCAUAUGAGAUGUUGACACAAGGACCUGAUACAACAGUGCGUCUACAGACAAGGGAUCAUCAAAGAGACAAACUACAGCCACAGAUGAGCACUCAGAACAACUUGCUUUUUCCUCUGCCACAGAACUCCCUACUGGGACCCACAUGGUCACUUGCCCUGGGACUGGCAGGUAGGAGCCCCACUGGUAUAGUCUCUUAACCCCUUGGGGGACAGGCUUAAAACAGGAUAUCACAGUAACACCUCCCGUUCCUCAAGGCACUUUCAUCCUCUCCCCUCUGGUGUGUCUUGUUGGAUGGUCAUGAUCUCUCCGUCUUAGUUCCCUCUCAAUAUCUUACUUUUCAUCCUUAGGACAAUGUCUGCCAACCUUUUCACCACUUAGGCACACACCAUUGCUGACACACAAAACCACUCCAACUGCUGGGUAUGCAGGGAGCGGCCUCUCUUCAACCACGGGGUUACCAUGGCGUCUCCAAGCUGCCAACGCCUCUGACUGGAGAGCCCUGUGAGAGUGAAGGAGCGCUGCCCACCUUCCCAUUCCUACCCCUCCGCCUGAGAGGGGGGACAUGCUUGCUUUGGUGUCCCUGCCUUUUCACUGCUGCUUUUAUUUUCAUGUUGUGCUCUCUACUGCUGUUGUGGUCUGACUACAGCGCUCCUCUCUGUGUCUGGCUGGAGGGAAACCAUGACAGAGUGGCGCAACGUGGACACUGUGGGGUGGAGUGCAGGGUCACUGGCUGGCACGUCCCUUUAAACCAUGUGUCCUUGAGGCCCCUUGUCUGAGCCUAAUGCCAGCAUUCACGAUCACGACAGUCCUGGGCUUGGCCAACCCAGCUGCUUUCUCGGGGUAGAGCACCAAGACCCUCGAGGUCAGAGGGAACAAGAGGGGGGUCUCCAGUCCUUGGAACACAGGUCAUACAGGGACAGUCCCCUGUGGCAAGCAUGCAGCCUUUGCUCCUCUGCCUACUUAAGCAAGCUUCUCUCAGGGGUCCAUAGCCAGUCCACAUUACUGUCCAGCCAUGGCCACUGGACCUUUUCUGUAAACAGCUCCCGAUAAACCCAUAUGUCUUGUUGACUGUCUCUGAGUCUUUUCUUGGGUUUCUCGGCAGCCUAUCCCCCACUGCUCACCCUGCUGGGCAAGUGGGGGACCAGAGAAGAGAUGUGUCUGACAAGAUUGUUGCUGGCACAGGAG
RNAcentral lists this long non-coding RNA (2869 nucleotides) under Equus caballus (horse). RNAcentral's name for it is "lncRNA (ENSECAG00000046824.1)". Lineage: Eukaryota; Metazoa; Chordata; Mammalia; Perissodactyla; Equidae. The record is from RNAcentral.